GACGAACGCUGGCGGCGUGCUUAACACAUGCAAGUCGAACGGAAAGGCCCUGCUUGCAGGGUACUCGAGUGGCGAACGGGUGAGUAACACGUGGGUGAUCUGCCCUGCACUUCGGGAUAAGCCUGGGAAACUGGGUCUAAUACCGGAUAGGAGCCAUUUUUAGUGUGAUGGUUGGAAAGUUUUUUCGGUGUAGGAUGAGCUCGCGGCCUAUCAGCCUGUUGGUGGGGUAAUGGCCUACCAAGGCGGCGACGGGUAGCCGGCCUGAGAGGGUGGACGGCCACAUUGGGACUGAGAUACGGCCAAGAAUCCGACGGGAGGAAGCAGUGGGGAAGAUUGCACAAUGGGCGCAAGCCUGAUGCAGCGACGCCGCGUGGGGGAUGACGGCCUUCGGGUUGUAAACUCCUUUCGCUAGGGAAGAAGCUUUUUGUGACGGUACCUAGAUAAGAAGCACCGGCUAACUACGUG
This 465-nucleotide ribosomal RNA is filed under the name uncultured bacterium. Its description in RNAcentral is "partial 16S ribosomal RNA". It matches the Rfam family "Bacterial small subunit ribosomal RNA", at positions 28 to 507 of the family's 1533-position model. The record is from RNAcentral.